This 453-nucleotide ribosomal RNA is filed under the name uncultured bacterium. RNAcentral describes it as "partial 16S ribosomal RNA". The record is from RNAcentral.
CACGUAGUUAGCCGUGGCUUUCUUGAAUGGUACAGUCAAUCUCUAAUCAUUUCCUAUUAGAGCCGUUCUUCCCAAACAACAGAACUUUACAAUCCAGAGGACCGUCAUCGUUCACGCGGCAUUGCUCGUUCAGGGUUUCCCCCAUUGACGAAUAUUCCUAACUGCUGUCUCCCGUAGGAGUCUGGGGCCGUGUCUCAGUCCCAGUGUGGCCGAUCAACCUCUCAGUUCAGCUAUGCAUCGUUGACUUGGUAGGCUCUUACCCACAACUAUCUAAUGCACCGCAGGCCCAUCUCUUAGCGAAGCUUUAAAGGCUUACCUUUAAUCCGUAGAUCACUAUUACGGUAUUAACAAUCGUUCCAAUUGGUAUCCCCAUACUAAGAGGGUAGUAACCACGUUGUUACUCACCCGUUUGCCACUAGGUGAAAUUCCACGUUCCUUCUCUUUCCACUUUCU